Molecule: ribosomal RNA, 253 nt
Filed under: uncultured bacterium
Lineage: Bacteria
Description: partial 16S ribosomal RNA
Rfam family: Bacterial small subunit ribosomal RNA
Source: RNAcentral
UACAGAGGUGGCAAGCGUUGUUCGGAAUUACUGGGCGUAAAGGGCGAGUAGGCGGCCUUCUAAGUCAGACGUGAAAUCCCCCGGCUUAACCUGGGAACUGCGUCUGAUACUGGGAGGCUAGAGUAUGGGAGAGGGAUGUAGAAUUCCAGGUGUAGCGGUGAAAUGCGUAGAUAUCUGGAGGAAUACCGGUGGCGAAGGCGGCAUCCUGGACCAUUACUGACGCUGAGGCACGAAGGCCAGGGGAGCAAACGGG